RNAcentral lists this ribosomal RNA (218 nucleotides) under uncultured bacterium. RNAcentral's name for it is "partial 16S ribosomal RNA". It matches the Rfam family "Bacterial small subunit ribosomal RNA", at positions 241 to 458 of the family's 1533-position model. The record is from RNAcentral.
UUAGCUAGUUGGUGAGGUAACGGCCCACCAAGCCGAUGACGGGUAGCUGGUCUGAGAGGAUGAUCAGCCAGACUGGGACUGAGAAACGGCCCAGACUCCUACGGGAGGCAGCAGUUAAGAAUCUUGCUCAAUGGGCGAAAGCCUGAAGCAGCGACGCCGCGUGAACGAUGAAGGUCUUCGGAUUGUAAAGUUCAGUAAGUAGGGACGAAAAAAAUGAC